RNAcentral lists this ribosomal RNA (499 nucleotides) under uncultured bacterium. RNAcentral's name for it is "partial 16S ribosomal RNA". It matches the Rfam family "Bacterial small subunit ribosomal RNA", at positions 28 to 507 of the family's 1533-position model. The record is from RNAcentral.
GACGAACGCUGGCGGCGUGCCUAAUACAUGCAAGUCGAGCGAAGUUUUUCUGGUGCUUGCCCUAGAAAAACUUAGCGGCGAACGGGUGAGUAACACGUAAAGAACCUGCCUCAUAGACUGGGACAACUAUUGGAAACGAUAGCUAAUACCGGAUAACAGUAUUUCUCGCAUGAGAGAUAUUUAAAAGUUGGUUAUGCUAACACUAUGAGAUGGCUUUGCGGUGCAUUAGCUAGUUGGUGGGGUAAAGGCCCACCAAGGCGACGAUGCAUAGCCGACCUGAGAGGGUGAUCGGCCACACUGGGACUGAGACACGGCCCAGACUCCUACGGGAGGCAGCAGUAGGGAAUCUUCCGCAAUGGGCGAAAGCCUGACGGAGCAACGCCGCGUGAGUGAAGAAGGAUUUCGGUUCGUAAAGCUCUGUUGUCAGGGAAGAAUGGAUAUGUAGUAACUAUACAUGUAAGAGACGGUACCUAACCAGAAAGCCACGGCUAACUACGUG